AUCCGGGUUUGUGUGUUUGUUGCUGCCCACAGCAGGAUGUGCGAGAGAGAAAUAUAGGGAUGACUUAGAUUUGGUAGAUAGUCAAUGAAAGUGCCGAGUUUUAACAAAGGAUGAAUUAGCAAACAAGAGAAAAAACCAAUAAUUGAGAGAGGGAGAGGGAUGGGGCAGUAAGGGAAGGGAGAGGGAUGGACAUAUGGGGAAGGGAGACCAUGGAAGAGUAGUAGAAGAAGAAGAAGAACGGCAAGCUGGAUGUUGGCUGGAAAAGGACUGGUUAUUAUACUAAAUGUUAGAUGAAAGAAAAAGCUAAAGGCAUCGCCUUUGCUUUGCCCUUUCUCUCCCAUAGAAAAAUAAAUAAAU
RNAcentral lists this unclassified non-coding RNA (357 nucleotides) under Hevea brasiliensis (rubber tree). Lineage: Eukaryota; Viridiplantae; Streptophyta; Magnoliopsida; Malpighiales; Euphorbiaceae. The record is from RNAcentral.